AGCAGCCGCGGUAAUUCCAGCUCCAAUAGCGUAUAUUAAAGUUGUUGCAGUUAAAAAGCUCGUAGUUGAAUUUCGGGAUUAGUACGUUGGUCGUGCCUUAGGUACGUACUGGUGUUACUGGUUCCUACCUUCUGACGAACCAUCAUGUCAUUAAUUUGGUGUGGCGGGGAAUCAGGACUGUUACUUUGAAAAAAUUAGAGUGUUUAAAGCAGGCUCGCGCUUGAAUACAUUAGCAUGGAAUAAUGAAAUAGGACGUUGACCCUAUUUUGUUGGUUUCUAGGAUUGACGUAAUGAUUAAUAGGGAUAGUUGGGGGCAUUAGUAUUCAAUUGUCAGAGGUGAAAUUCUUGGAUUUAUUGAAGACUAACUACUGCGAAAGCAUUUGCCAAGGAUGUUUUCAUUAAUCAAGAACGAAAGUUAGGGGAUCGAAGACGAUCAGAUACCGUCGUAGU
RNAcentral lists this ribosomal RNA (450 nucleotides) under uncultured Glomeromycotina. RNAcentral's name for it is "SSU rRNA". It matches the Rfam family "Eukaryotic small subunit ribosomal RNA", at positions 569 to 1024 of the family's 1831-position model. The record is from RNAcentral. Lineage: Eukaryota; Fungi; Glomeromycota.